Molecule: unclassified non-coding RNA, 223 nt
Filed under: uncultured fungus
Lineage: Eukaryota; Fungi
Description: sequence contains ITS1, 5.8S rRNA gene
Rfam family: 5.8S ribosomal RNA (bases 175-223)
Source: RNAcentral
UUUCCGUAGGUGAACCUGCGGAAGGAUCAUUACCUAGAGUUGCGGGCUUUGCCUGCCAUCUCUUACCCAUGUCUUUUGAGUACCUUACGUUUCCUCGGCGGGUCCGCCCGCCGAUUGGACAAAACUUAAACCCUUUGUAGUUGCAAUCAGCGUCUGAAAAAACUUAAUAGUUACAACUUUCAACAACGGAUCUCUUGGUUCUGGCAUCGAUGAAGAACGCAGC